CAGUAGCCGCGGUAAUGCGUAGGUGGCAAGCGUUGUCCGGAAUUAUUGGGCGUAAAGGGCUCGCAGGCGGUUUCUUAAGUCUGAUGUGAAAGCCCCCGGCUCAACCGGGGAGGGUCAUUGGAGACUGGGAAACUUGAGUGCAGAAGAGGAGAGUGGAAUUCCACGUGUAGCGGUGAAAUGCGUAGAGAUGUGGAGGAACACCAGUGGCGAAGGCGACUCUCUGGUCUGUAACUGACGCUGAGGAGCGAAAGCGUGGGGAGCGGACAGGAUUAGAUACCCCCGUAGUCCCUGUCUCUUAUAC
Molecule: ribosomal RNA, 301 nt
Filed under: uncultured bacterium
Lineage: Bacteria
Description: partial 16S ribosomal RNA
Rfam family: Bacterial small subunit ribosomal RNA
Source: RNAcentral